RNAcentral lists this ribosomal RNA (351 nucleotides) under Clistoabdominalis helluo. RNAcentral's name for it is "partial 12S ribosomal RNA". Lineage: Eukaryota; Metazoa; Arthropoda; Insecta; Diptera; Pipunculidae. The record is from RNAcentral.
UAUUUUAGAGCUAUUAUCAAUUUAUUAAUCUAUAUAAAUUUACUAUCAAAUCCAAUUUCAUUAAACUAUUACAAGCUUAAAUCCAAUAUAAUAAAAUAAAUGUAACCCAUUAUAAACUUAAACAUAAGCUACAUCUUGAUCUGAUAUUAUUUAAAUUAAAAAUUAAGAAAAUUAAUAUUCUUAUAAAAUAUUCAUUAACGACGAUAUAUAAACUACAAAAACAAAUUUAAGUUAGAUCCAUCGUGGACUAUCGAUUACAAAACAGGUUCCUCUGAAUAGACUAAAAUACCGCCAAAUUUUUUAAAUUUCAAGAUCUUAACUAAUACUACUUAAAUAUUAUAAAUUAAAUUU